Amborella trichopoda is the source of this 1062-nucleotide non-coding RNA. Lineage: Eukaryota; Viridiplantae; Streptophyta; Magnoliopsida; Amborellales; Amborellaceae. The record is from RefSeq and is a predicted model, not a curated record.
AACUUUUGCCUUUAAUAGAGUAGGAUUUGUCAAUGGUGAAGAUUCCACUGCUUCAUUUUCUCUCUAAAAUAUUACUAAAAUAUUUGAGAGAGACAAAGUGCCAAAGAGCGAGAGAGGAAGCAGAGAAGUGGAGGGAAGCGAAUCUCUGGUUAAUAUAAGAUAGAGAGAGAAAGAGUGCUAUUUAGAGGGAGAAAAUUGUUGAUUGAAAGAGGAAAUUUCCUGUUCUUGGGCUGCUGAAGAAGGUCAUGGCGGAUCUGAAGGUCUUCCCUCUCUCUGAGGUUUCUCUUCACUCCUCCAAGAAAGAUUGCUGGAUAAUAGUAAGAGGAAAGGUUUAUGAUGUCACUGGAUUCUUGGAGGAGCACCCAGGAGGAGAAGAUGUUUUGAUAGAAGCUUCAGGGCGAGAUGCAACUAAGGAAUUCAACGAGGUCGGCCACAGCUCAACAGCCAUGGCCAUGAUGGACGGCUACGAAAUCGGCAUUGUAGAGGGAUUUAAGCUGGAAAAUCCCCCUGGAAAAGCGAAAAGUUCCGGUGAUCACAGUGGGAUUUCAUAUAGCCAGAAGGCAAGCACAAGCCUGGUAAAGGAAGAGGGGCCAUCAGGUCUGGCCAGCUUCAUGCAGUUUUUGCUUCCUCUUGUUAUUCUUGGUGUUGCCGUUGCUGCUUGGUAUUUCCUCAACAGUGAGAAGCCCAAGUCCUCUUAGACUUGGCUAAUGGUGAGAGAUGUGUGGCCUCUCUCUCCUCUUCUGAAGUGAUGUUAUUUUUCUUUUUCUCUCUCCUCCCAAGUCCUCUUAGACUUGGCUAAUGGUGCUUAAGAGAGGAAGAGAGAUGCAGGAAGAGGGUUAUAAAUAAAAAGUCCAGUAUCUAGAGAUGUGUGUACAUGAGAGAGAGACAGGGUUAUCCAAGAUCAUUGCCCAUUUAAUUAAGGUUCCAGUAAGUAUUACUGUAGUAAAAUACUUGUGAGUUUUUGACAAAGAUGUGUUAAGUUUACAUUAUCCAAUUGAAAUGAACGGUGUAAAUUAUUGCAGAUUUAUUUAUACGAAUAUGGUUGUGUGUUGUUGGGAGAGA